This is a non-coding RNA of Malus domestica (apple), 2214 nucleotides long. The record is from RefSeq and is a predicted model, not a curated record. NCBI's taxonomy places the organism in Eukaryota, Viridiplantae, Streptophyta, Magnoliopsida, Rosales, Rosaceae.
GUCCAUUAGAAUGAAAAGACAACCACUAGGAGCGCAUCAACAGUAAACAUUGGAGGAGAAUCUAACCGAAGACACGGACUAACAGCCGUGAAAAGACAUCCCCAGCAAAAAAAAUCCCAUUACAAUGUCCCAUAACAAUUCCAGCUUCAUUUUUACAGCUUUAAAACGAGUGGAUGAGAGGGGUUUUGGUCGGCUCAUGUGCAGGGCGCUAUGCUCAGGGUGAAACUCUGUCGGUAGAUUAUCAUUUGUUUUUUUCUCCUAGUUGGGUUGGACCGCUUUGGUUGAAUUGGAUUCAAAGAGAUGGGGUGCAAGGCCCGGUCAACGAAAUGGGCUCAAUCCAAAGUCCAAUUUCAACUUCCCGGAAAACAGAAUCUGAAGUUCUCAACGGCGGAAUAAUUGACAGUUGGGGGAACUCAGACUUGAAAUCUGCCAGGAAAGAAAACAUGGCUGCCAAUUUCUGGACUUCGUCCCACUAGUAUGCUCCUUUCGAUCCCGAAAUUGUUUCCCAUGUUUCUGAUUUUGUUGUUUGUUUCGAUUUUCGUAGGUUUAAAUGUGUUUUCCAACGUGGGUUUUUGUUAUUUGUUGAUUAUAUCUGUGGUGGAUGCUGAAUUGUUACGUUUUUGUUGAACUUUCUUGGUUUCGAUUGAGCUUCUUAUGCCCUUGCAUUUAAGAACUUCAUUAGGUAUGAGUCGGCAGCUGCAUUGAAUUUCGCAUGCUAAUCGAUACAAAAGAACUAAAAUUUGAUAGUUCAGCUGUAGUUAAUCAGAGUGUUGGGAUGGAUGUACAGAUUCUUGUUUGAUCAUGAUAUAACAAUUCAGCGAAUGGUACUAUGCAUUACCGAACGUGCUUGAUUGCGGAUUAUUGUUUGGGUUAAUGCACAGAAAGAAUUGUAACUUUUAGCAGGAUUAUCAAGAAUUCCUAAAUGAUGAAAUGUAACCUUUGGAGCCUUUUCACUGGAUCGAAACGACAGAAGAAACAAAUUGUUGUUCUGUCAUGCGGUUGUGUGAGUUGGUUCUCUGCUAAAUGAUCAUUUCCCCUAGAAGUUGUCAUAUGGUUCUUGGCUACUUACCAUCUUAUAAAGUUGGUUUGGGCAUCUUCUUUGUUGAAGUGAUGCUUUUUUUGUAUCCUUAUACCAUAUUGUUAUUAUUUUCACGUAAUUGAACUCUUAGGAAUAGAGCUUCUGAUACAAGAUUAAUGGAUGUUGCUCAAAUGCACGUGCAUAAUACUGCUGAUCACUAUGUUUUUCAUAUCUGCUUUACUGUAAAUUAAUCGUUUUUUGUUCUUUUCCCUUUUCCUUUCUUUCAGAUAUAUCAAGAUUGGCACAACUUGUAAAAGUGAGACAAAGGGUUGUAGCUACCGCAGUUACAUAUAUGAGACGUGUGUACACCAAGAAGAGUAUGUAUGAUCCACGUCUCGUAGCUCCAACCUGCCUGUGCCUGGCAUCUAAAGCGGAAGAAAGCACAAGGCAAGCUAAACUUCUAGUAUUUUAUAUAAAAAAAGAUUUAUUUAGAUGAUAAGUAUAGAUAUGAGGUCAAAGACAUACUUGAAAUGGAAAUGAAGAUUUUAGAAGCUCUCAACUAUUAUCUGGUUGUAUACCAUCCUUAUCGUUCGUUGUCUCAGUUGCUUCAAGAUGCAGGCUUAAACGAUACAAGUAUGACUCAGUUAACUUGGGGAGUUGUAAAUGACACGCACAAGAUGGACCUUGCACUUGUACAUCCUCCACACCUGAUUGCUUUAGCUUGCAUAUGCAUCGCUAGCGUACUCAGAGAUAAAGAUACCACAGCAUGAUUUGAAGAGCUUCGUGUGGACAUGAAUGUGGUGAAAAACAUAUCAAUGGAGAUAUUAGAUUUCUACGAAAACCACCGCAUGAUCCCGGAGGAAAGGUUUAAUGCUGCACUCAACAAGCUAGCCUACAAACCAUAGAUGGCCGGACAAGCCUUCCCGCUAGCACAGCCGGUCAAUGUACGAAGAACUCUAUCAACGGUAACCUUCUGGGAGAACAAUAGUGUCAUAUAUAUCAGAAAGCUUCCUUUCGAUGAACAUUGGAGUCACAUUAGGGUUUUCUCUGGCAUAAUUGCUACAUUUUUCUACAAAAAUUACUUCAACAUUUCAUCGUUGCCAAUAUUUCAAAAAAAAAAAGAAAAAAAAUCGCCACUUACAAGUCAGAGACUCGUAGACAAAGGAAACUUAUGAUUUCACUCUUGACUCUGUUUA